AUACGGAGGAUGCGAGCGUUAUCCGGAUUUAUUGGGUUUAAAGGGUGCGUAGGCGGUCGGGUAAGCGUAGGGUGACAGUCCUCUGCUCAACAGAGGAAGUGCCUUCCGAACUGUCCGACUGGAAUGCUCCUGCCGUGGGAGGAAUGUGUGGCGUAGCGGUGAAAUGCAUAGAGAUCACACAGAACAACGAUUGCGAAGGCAUCUCACGAAGGGGCUAUUGACGCUGAGGCACGAAAGCGUGGGGAUCAAACAGGAUUAGAUACCCUGGUAGUCCACGCAGUAAACGAUGAUGACUAACCGUCGGUCAAGACUGAUCGGUGGCCAAGCGAAAGCGAUAAGUCAUCCACCUGGGGAGUACGACCGCAAGGUUGAAACUCAAAGGAAUUGACGGGG
Molecule: ribosomal RNA, 393 nt
Filed under: uncultured bacterium
Lineage: Bacteria
Description: partial 16S ribosomal RNA
Rfam family: Bacterial small subunit ribosomal RNA
Source: RNAcentral